ACCUAGAUGCUGCCAAUCCUUAUGUACCCAUGAUGCUUCCACCUCAAGGAGUGCAUCCAAAUCCUGAAUGGAAUGAAUAUCAGGCUACCUUCAUACAUAAAGGGAAACAACUGUUGCUUGUUGCAAAUCCCAAUCGGGGUUGGAGCAAGUCUCUGUGGUGUGAAAUCUGCAAGAUUGACUGUACCAGUAAGGAUGACUUGGACCAACACAAAUUGGGGAAGAAGCAC
This is a long non-coding RNA of Telopea speciosissima, 227 nucleotides long. RefSeq lists it as uncharacterized. The record is from RefSeq and is a predicted model, not a curated record. NCBI's taxonomy places the organism in Eukaryota, Viridiplantae, Streptophyta, Magnoliopsida, Proteales, Proteaceae. The transcript is spliced from 2 exons.